UGAGGUACUGAGGAAUAGCUCGGCUACUCCGUCCAGCAGCGCGGUAAUACGUAGAUGCAAGCGUAUCCGGAUGAUUGGCGUAAGCGUCCGCAGGUGGUUUUCAAGUCUGAUGUCAAAUACCGAGGCUUAACCUGAUCAAGGCAGUGGAAACUGCGAGACUAGAGUGCGUCAGAGGAGAAGGAAUUCCUGGUGUAGCGGUGAAAUGCGUAGAGAUCAGGAAGAACACCGAUGGCGAAAGCAUUUUUCUAGGCCGCAACUGACACUGAGGCACGAAAGCUAGGGGAGCGAACGGGAUUAGAUACCCCAGUAGUCCUCGCCGUAAACGAUGUCAACUAGGCGUUGUCGAAUCGAUUCCGGUCAGUACGGUAGUUAACGCGGUAAGUAUCCCCCUUGGGGAGUCCGCAGCCAAGUGUGAAAUUCAAGGAAAUGGAGGGGGGCCCCCCCAAGCGGUGGAGUAGGUGGUUUAUUUGGAUGCAACGGAAAGACCCUUCCCAGGGCUUGCCAUUUCGAGAAUCUCGAGAAAGUCGAGAGUGCCUUAGGGAGCGCGGACCCCGGUUGUGCAUGGCUGUUGUCAGCUUGUGUUGUGAGAUGUUGGGUUAAGUUCCGCAACGAGCGCCACCCUCGUUCUUUAUUUCCAGCAUUAAGUUGGGCACUCUAGAGAGACUGCCGGUGACAAACCGGAGGAAGGUGGGGAUGACGUCAAGUCAUCAUGCCCCUUACGUCUUGGGCUUCACACGUCAUACAAUGGUACGGACAGAGGGCAGCAAGCCCGCGAGGGCAAGCAAAUCCCGCAAACCGUGUCUCAGUUCAGAUUGCAGUCUGCAACUCGCCUGCGUGAAGUAGGAAUCGCUAGUAAUCGCGGAUCAGCAUGUCGCAGUGAAUUCGUUCCCGGGCCUUGUA
This 900-nucleotide ribosomal RNA is filed under the name Nostoc sphaericum MBDU622. RNAcentral's name for it is "bacterial SSU rRNA". It matches the Rfam family "Bacterial small subunit ribosomal RNA", at positions 470 to 1385 of the family's 1533-position model. Lineage: Bacteria; Bacillati; Cyanobacteriota; Cyanophyceae; Nostocales; Nostocaceae. The record is from RNAcentral.